UCAGGACGAACGGCCUGGCGGCGUGCCUAAUACAUGCAAGUCGAACGGCUUUUCUAUGGAAGCUUGCUUCCACUGAGAAGAUAGUGGCGAACGGGUGAGUAACACUGGGGUAACCUGCCCAUAAGAGGGGGGAUAACAUCCGGAAACGGGUGCUAAUACCGCAUAGUUUUCUUGAUCGCAUGAUCGGGAAAGGAAAGACGGCCUUUGUGCUGUCGCUUAUGGAUGGACCCGCGGCGUAUUAGUUAGUUGGUGAGGUAACGGCUCACCAAGACGAUGAUACGUAGCCGACCUGAGAGGGUGAUCGGCCACAUUGGGACUGAGACACGGCCCAAACUCCUACGGGAGGCAGCAGUAGGGAAUCUUCCGCAAUGGACGAAAGUCUGACGGAGCAACGCCGCGUGAGUGAAAGAAGGUUUUCGGAUCGUAAAACUCUGUUGUCAGAGAAGAACAAGUUGGAGAGUAACUGCUCCAGCCUUGACGGUAUCUGACCAGAAAGCCACGGCUAACUACGUGCCAGCCGCGGC
Molecule: ribosomal RNA, 524 nt
Filed under: uncultured bacterium
Lineage: Bacteria
Description: bacterial SSU rRNA
Rfam family: Bacterial small subunit ribosomal RNA
Source: RNAcentral